RNAcentral lists this ribosomal RNA (253 nucleotides) under uncultured bacterium. RNAcentral describes it as "partial 16S ribosomal RNA". It matches the Rfam family "Bacterial small subunit ribosomal RNA", at positions 524 to 776 of the family's 1533-position model. The record is from RNAcentral.
UACGUAGGGGGCAAGCGUUGUCCGGAAUCAUUGGGCGUAAAGCGCGUGUAGGCGGCUCGAUAAGUCUGCUGUGAAAGUCCAGGGCUCAACCCUGGGAUGCCGGUGGAUACUGUCGAGCUCGAGUCCGGAAGAGGCGAGUGGAAUUCCUGGUGUAGCGGUGAAAUGCGCAGAUAUCUGGAGGAACACCGGUGGCGAAGGCGGCAUCCUGGACCGGCAUUGACGCUGAGGCGCGAAAGCCAGGGGAGCAAACGGG